UUGGUUAAGUUAGAAAGGGCGCACGGUGGAUGCCUUGGCACUAGGAGCCGAAGAAGGACGGGACUAACACCGAUAUGCUUUGGGGAGCUGUACGUAAGCGUUGAUCCAGAGAUUUCCGAAUGGGGGAACCCACUAUCUUUAGUCGGAUAGUAUCCUUACGUGAAUACAUAGCGUGAGGAAGGCAGACCCAGGGAACUGAAACAUCUAAGUACCUGGAGGAAGAGAAAGAAAAAUCGAUUUCCUGAGUAGCGGCGAGCGAAACGGAAAGAGCCCAAACCAAGAAGCUUGCUUCUUGGGGUUGUAGGACACUCUAUACGGAGUUACAAAAGAAAGUUAUAAAUGAAGCGGUCUGGAAAGGCCCGCCAAAGACGGUAACAGCCCGGUAGUUGAAAUGGCUUUCCCUCCAGAGUGGAUCCUGAGUACGGCGGAACACGUGAAAUUCCGUCGGAAUCCGGGAGGACCAUCUCCCAAGGCUAAAUACUCCCUAGUGACCGAUAGUGAACCAGUACCGUGAGGGAAAGGUGAAAAGCACCCCGGAAGGGGAGUGAAACAGUUCCUGAAACCGUGUGCCUACAAGUAGUUAGAGCCCGUUAAUGGGUGAUAGCGUGCCUUUUGUAGAAUGAACCGGCGAGUUACGAUUUGUUGCAAGGUUAAGCGGAAAAAGCGGAGCCGUAGCGAAAGCGAGUCUGAAUAGGGCGCAUAAGUAACAGGUCGUAGACCCGAAACCAGGUGAUCUACCCAUGUCCAGGAUGAAGGUAAGGUAAUACUUACUGGAGGUCCGAACCCACGCACGUUGAAAAGUGCGGGGAUGAGGUGUGGGUAGCGGAGAAAUUCCAAUCGAACUUGGAGAUAGCUGGUUCUCUCCGAAAUAGCUUUAGGGCUAGCCUCGAGGUAAAGAGUCAUGGAGGUAGAGCACUGUUUGGACUAGGGGCCCUUCUCGGGUUACCGAAUUCAGAUAAACUCCGAAUGCCAUGUACUUAUACUCGGGAGUCAGACUGCGAGUGAUAAGAUCCGUAGUCGAAAGGGAAACAGCCCAGACCACCAGUUAAGGUCCCCAAAUAUAUGUUAAGUGGAAAAGGAUGUGGGGUUGCUUAGACAACCAGGAUGUUGGCUUAGAAGCAGCCACCAUUGAAAGAGUGCGUAAUAGCUCACUGGUCGAGUGACCCCGCGCCGAAAAUGUACCGGGGCUAAACAUAUUACCGAAACUGUGGAUGAACCUCUUUAGAGGUUCGUGGUAGGAGAGCGUUCUAAGGGCGGUGAAGUCAGACCGGAAGGACUGGUGGAGCGCUUAGAAGUGAGAAUGCCGGUAUGAGUAGCGAAAGAAGGGUGAGAAUCCCUUCCACCGAAUAUCUAAGGUUUCCUGAGGAAGGCUCGUCCGCUCAGGGUUAGUCGGGACCUAAGCCGAGGCCGAUAGGCGUAGGCGAUGGACAACAGGUAGAGAUUCCUGUACCAGUGCUAAUUGUUUAACCGAUGGGGUGACACAGAAGGAUAGGGAAUCGCACGAAUGGAAAUGUGCGUCCAAGCAGUGAGUGUGAGAAGUAGGCAAAUCCGCUUCUCGCGAAGCAUGAGCUGUGAUGGGGAAGGAAAUUAAGUACGGAAGUUCCUGAUUUCACGCUGUCAAGAAAAGCCUCUAGGAAGAGUAGU
RNAcentral lists this ribosomal RNA (1644 nucleotides) under Listeria monocytogenes. Its description in RNAcentral is "partial 23S ribosomal RNA". It matches the Rfam family "Bacterial large subunit ribosomal RNA", at positions 1 to 1636 of the family's 2925-position model. The record is from RNAcentral. Lineage: Bacteria; Bacillati; Bacillota; Bacilli; Caryophanales; Listeriaceae.